CAGGGUCACCGCGACUGGCGCACAUGAGGUGGAAACAACCACCGGGGAGCGACGCAGACCGGGGCACCGCGCGCCUGGGUGUCCGGU
Molecule: non-coding RNA, 87 nt
Filed under: Actinomycetota bacterium
Lineage: Bacteria; Bacillati; Actinomycetota
Description: Actinobacteria bacterium ZTP sequence
Rfam family: ZMP/ZTP riboswitch aptamer (pfl RNA motif)
About the family: Previously known as pfl RNA. ZMP is also known as AICAR.
Source: RNAcentral